AACUCUGAGUCAUGUUUUUACUUUUGUUUUCACAUUUGGGGAAUCCCCGCUCAGGUUUUACUUUCAUUUGGUGUCUGUCCAGGUACUUUCAUACCAUACAGCUUGUUUAGUCAGCCAAUCAGAGACCUGCAGCAUGGUGGCGUGUCACGACUAAAGGUCUAUUCUGUUCUAUUCUAUUCUACAGGCUGCACAGGGUCAGAGUGGACGUUUUGGAGCAGGAAGCACCUGAAGGACAACGUUAAAGACAGUCAAACUUCCUCUGAGGAGAUGGACAGAAACGAGGAACUGGAGUAAGUCUGGAAGCAAGGAGUGAAAUGAAACGAGAAGAUUUUCUCUGUGUUUUGUUUCAGGAUCCAUCUGUGGACAGAUUAAAUGUUUGCCGUGCUUAAAAUGUUUUUUCUAUAAUUCCUGUUUCAGCAAAUUGUUUCAGAGGUUACGCGUAUUUAAACACUACAGAGCAGACAGACUGAGCAGCUGUGAUGAAAGGC
This 488-nucleotide long non-coding RNA is filed under the name Oreochromis niloticus (Nile tilapia). Its description in RNAcentral is "lncRNA (ENSONIG00000027622.1)". The record is from RNAcentral. Lineage: Eukaryota; Metazoa; Chordata; Actinopteri; Cichliformes; Cichlidae.